AAUAACGUGUCAUGACGUGGCUCGUCCCUUGCAGCUCCACUCGCAUCAGUUACAUUUCCAUGGCGUCUCUAAGAAGGCCGCAGUAACAAAAUCAUUUUAUGAAAAUGGCGGCAAAGGCAAAACCUACAACGAAGGAACAAUCUCAUCCUGAAGGAAUGUUUGAAGGAAUGGUUGUCUUCUUUGUUCCUAAAGGAGUUCAACCUCGUCGAUUACAGAUUUGGAAGCAAAGGAUGGUUCAAAUGGGGGCUGUGAUAGAGGAGCGCCUUUCCAAACGUGUUACUCAUGUUUUAGCUGUCGACUCACAUACCGUUUUACAGGAAUUCGAUACAUAUCGUUUGUCACGUUUUAAAGGGGACUUGUGUAUGCUGUACUUUGACUUGUGUAAACUGAAAUUGAAAGUUCUCCUUUAUCAGUGGCUGGAGGACAGUUUGAAAUCAGGGGAGAAACUAUCAGAGAAUUUGUAUGUACUGAAGUUGGAUCCUCAAGAUGAAAGUAUCAACGAACCUGACAAGUCUUUGGAUCCUGAGCCAACUGAUGCGAACGUUUCUAGCGAACUUCAGAAAUUAAAUAAUAAAAAGAUAAAAUCAUCUUCCGACGAUACGAAAAUUGUUAACCUUGAAACUAAUGAAAAUAGAAGAGAAAAUGCACCACUUUCAUCAACAAGCAUCGCAAGCACAGACGGUGAGGUCGAGAAUUUAAAUUAUGCUGACAGAAGACCACAACACCGUGAUGCUGAAAACGAGGCAUCAACCUUGCCGUACUGCCCGCCUGAUCUAAACAAGAACAUUACAGAGAUAUUCAAGAAACUUGUGAACAUAUAUAGAGCAUUGGGUGAUGACCGGAGAUCUUUUAGCUAUUACAAGGCUAUUUCAGUGAUUGAGAAGUUGCCAUUUAAAGUUGAAAGUGCAGACCAGAUAAAAAACCUCCCGUCAAUUGGAAAGUCAAUGAAGGAUCAUAUUCAGGAGAUAAUCACUACUGGGAAGUUAUUGAAAUUGGAACACUUUGAAACUGAUGAAAAGGUGCAAACAAUAUCCUUAUUUGGAGAAGUAUGGGGUAUAGGUCCAGCCACAGCACUGAAAUUGUACGACAAAGGACAUCGUACAUUAGACGAUCUUACGAAUGAUGAUUCACUAACGAAUGCGCAGAAGUUAGGGUUGAAAUACUUUGAUGAUAUCAGGCAACGGAUUCCACGCCAUGAGGUUCAAGAGAUGGAACACAUUUUGCAGAAAGUUGGGGAGGAUGUUUUGCCUGGGGUUAUUAUUAUUUGUGGAGGAUCAUAUAGACGUGGGAAAGCUACCUGUGGGGACAUUGAUAUCAUUAUAACACAUCCUGAUGGAACAAGCCACAAAGGAUUUUUGCCCAAGUAUGUAAAGCGUUUAAAGGAUACGAAUUUCCUGAGGGAGGAUUUGAUUUUUAGUACUCACAGUGAAGAGGGCACUGAUUCUGGUGUUGACACAUACUUCGGUUUUUGCACUUAUCCUGGACGGGAGUUGCGACAUCGUAUUGAUUUAAAGUGUUUUUGCAGGUCUACCCACGAGAGAUAUAUGCUUUCGGCCUUGUAGCUUGGACUGGAAAUGAUGUAUUAAAUAGGAGGUUGAGGCUACAAGCAGAAUCUAAAGGAUUUCGGCUUGAUGAUACAGGGUUGUUUCCAGCUACUCAGGGUUCUGGCGGCAAACGGGGCACAAAAGGUAAUGCAAGUUUGAAAUUGUCCACAGAAAAGGAAGUGUUUGAUUUCCUGGGAUUUCCUUGGCUUGAACCACAUCAAAGAAAUCUCUAAAUACAGGAAUAGUUCGGUUAGCCUGCUAGAAGUACGAUGUACAACACCCUUUUGUGAUGUUUGAAAGAGGUCUCUUGCGAGAUUUUUGCAUGCUCUGGUAUCCCUGCCUUGUAGACUACGGUGUGUAGAGCAGAAAAGGUUUCUCAUUGGGUGCUGCUUUGUGAAUAUUUAUAUGUAGGAAGGAUACAGGUUGACAAUUCUAGGGUCAUCUUCCAAAUAUUGUGUACACAAAAAUAGCACAAUGAUAUGAAUGUUGUUUUUAUUUUUGGGAUUUGUUUAAAAUGUAUUAAGUGUUCACUAAUGUACUUUUUUCACCUUGAUUUCUUUUUA
Non-coding RNA from Cicer arietinum (chickpea), 2107 nucleotides. NCBI's taxonomy places the organism in Eukaryota, Viridiplantae, Streptophyta, Magnoliopsida, Fabales, Fabaceae. The record is from RefSeq and is a predicted model, not a curated record.